RNAcentral lists this ribosomal RNA (1057 nucleotides) under marine metagenome. RNAcentral describes it as "bacterial SSU rRNA". It matches the Rfam family "Archaeal small subunit ribosomal RNA", at positions 183 to 1245 of the family's 1478-position model. The record is from RNAcentral.
UGGGAUGAGAGCUCGGGCGGCAUGGGGUGGUGCGGGGGAGAGACUGGUAGUAGGGGGUGUAAUCGAACUACUAGCGCUAGACGCGUACGCGUUGUGAGAGCAAUCGCCCGGAGAUGGAGUCUGAGACACGAGUCCAGACCGUACGGGGUGCAGCAGGCGCGCAAACUUGACAAUACGAGAAAGCGUGAUCAGAGAACUCCAAGUGUCCACGUUUUUACGAGGUUCUAGAUUGACUCUAGACAGGUCGAGUAAUAGGGGCGGGAAAUAUCGGUGCCAGCCGCCGCGGUAAUACCGAAGCCCCAAGUGGUCGUCGUUCUUAUUGGGCCUAAAACGUCCGUAGCCGGUUUGGUACAUUCGUGGGUAAAUCAGACAGCUUAACUGUCUGAAUUCUGCGAGCACGGCCAAACUUGAGACCGGGAGAGGUGUAGGGUACCUGCGGGGUAGGGGUAAAAUCCUGUCAUCCCGUAGGGACCACCUGUUGCGAAGGCGCCACACUAGAACGGAUCUGACGGUCAGGGACGAAGCCUGGGGGCACGAACCGGAUUAGAUACCCGGGUAGUCCCAGGUGUAAACGCUGUGGAUUUGGUGUGUGGGGUCCGCAAAGGGCCCCAUGUGCCGGAGUGAAGAUGUUAAAUCCACUGCCUGGGGAGUACGGUCGCAAGGCUGAAACUUAAAGGAAUUGGCGGGGGAGCACUGCAACGCGAGGAGCGUGCGGUUUAAUUGGAUUCAACGCCGGAAAACUCACCAUGGCCGACUGUUAGAUGAAGACCAGCGUAAUGAGCUUGUCGGAUUUUCAGAGAGGUGGUGCAUGGCCGUCGUCAGUUCGUACUGUAAAGCGUUCUGUUAAGUCAGAUAACGAACGAGACCCGCAUCCUUAUUUGCCUCCCUUUUCUCCGGAAAAGGCGCACCAUAGGGAGACCGCUGGUGUUAAACCAGAGGAAGGCGCGGGCAACGACAGGUCAUUAUGCCCCGAAUGUCUUGGGCUACACGCGCGCUACAAAGGACGGGACAAUGGGAAGCCACGCCGAGAGGCGGCGCUACCCCGAAACCCGUUCGU